This 172-nucleotide ribosomal RNA is filed under the name Beaufortia sp. CBM:ZF:11827. RNAcentral describes it as "partial 12S rRNA". The record is from RNAcentral. Lineage: Eukaryota; Metazoa; Chordata; Actinopteri; Cypriniformes; Gastromyzontidae.
CACCGCGGUUAUACGAGAGGCCCCAGUUGAUAGACACGGCGUAAAGGGUGGUUAAGGAAAACGAAAUUAAAGCCAAAGGACCUCUUGGCCGUCAUACGCUUCUGAGUGCCCGAAGCCCAAACACGAAAGUAGCUUUAAUACAAGCCCACCUGACCCCACGAAAGCUGAGAAA